GACAGAGGUGCCAAGCGUUAGGCGGAAUCACUGGGCUUAAAGCGCGUGUAGGCGGAUGCCUAAGUACCUUGUGAAAUCCCACGGCUCACCCGUGGAACUGCUGGGUAUACUGGGUGUCUUGAGCCAACUAGGGGUCGCCGGAACAAGUGGUGGAGCGGUGAAAUGCGCAGAUAUCAGGAGGAACACCGGUGGCGAAGGCGGGUCUCUGGGCCGUAACUGACGCUGAGGAGCGAAAGCGUGGGGAGCGAACAGG
This 253-nucleotide ribosomal RNA is filed under the name uncultured bacterium. RNAcentral describes it as "partial 16S ribosomal RNA". It matches the Rfam family "Bacterial small subunit ribosomal RNA", at positions 524 to 776 of the family's 1533-position model. The record is from RNAcentral.